CAAGGUGCCCAUGUCCUCCGUGGCUGUUGGCUGAGGACUACUUACCUACAGGCACAUGGAUCUCCUGCAUUACCUGCAUCACCUGCUCACUGAGGUGCACAGAGCUCCGAAUUCAAAGCUGUGAAGCAUGCUGUGUGUAUGUGCCAAGGACCAAGAUUCUCAGCACUGAUCACACAAGCUGACGUGUUACAUAUGUGGAUUGUCCCUCCCCAGAUGCAUGGAAUCAGAAGUGCUACAGGUUCAAGGCCGUCAUAUUUGUAUGUGUAGAACUGGGUAUCUUGCCAAGUUACCCAGAGAAACUAUGAGGAUGGAGAUUGUUGUGAUUUUCUGUGAACAUGAAUAAGGAAAGCU
This is a long non-coding RNA of Mus musculus (house mouse), 351 nucleotides long. RefSeq annotates it as predicted gene, 52038. The record is from RefSeq and is a predicted model, not a curated record. The transcript is spliced from 3 exons. NCBI's taxonomy places the organism in Eukaryota, Metazoa, Chordata, Mammalia, Rodentia, Muridae.